Molecule: ribosomal RNA, 46 nt
Filed under: Paucispora quadrispora
Lineage: Eukaryota; Fungi; Ascomycota; Dothideomycetes; Pleosporales; Lophiostomataceae
Description: partial 28S ribosomal RNA
Source: RNAcentral
UGGACCUCGGAUCAGGUAGGGAUACCCGCUGAACUUAAGCAUAUCA